RNAcentral lists this long non-coding RNA (1077 nucleotides) under Junco hyemalis (dark-eyed junco). Its description in RNAcentral is "lncRNA (ENSJHYG00000014390.1)". Lineage: Eukaryota; Metazoa; Chordata; Aves; Passeriformes; Passerellidae. The record is from RNAcentral.
CCCGCAGGGGACAGCGCCGUGCCGGGACAAGGACAUUUCGGGGCUGGCGCUGGCGCAGCCGGGCUGGCAGCGCCCCCGCAUUGCUGCUCCCUGAGAUCACGGCUCCAGCGCCCGGCCGGGCACACGCGGCCGGCCUGGGCAGUGCCUCCCCGGGCUCGGAGCCGCUCCAGCGCCGGCAGCGCGGUGCCUGCGGCCGGCGCUCCGCGGAGCUCAGCCCGGCCCGGGGCAGCCCGGCCGAGCUCGGCCCGGAGCGGAGCGGCCGCAGGAGGAGGCGCGGGCCCGGAUCCAGCCGGCUGCAGCGGGAGCGGAGCCAGGGCCGAGCGCGGCCUCCUCGGUUCUUCCCUAAAUAGCCGGCGGCGGGCAGGAGGAUUAGCCGGGGCAUUCCUCGGCCACCGUCCUCCUACCGCCGCCGAGCUCCCGAGCUCCCCUGGCCGCGGGAUUCCUGCUCCUCCCUCACGCCGCCCGUCCCCUGCUCCGCGGGGCACCCACAGCCACCCGGGCCCGGCCGCCUUCCUCCCGUUUGGCAGCGGCCUUUGGGCUUCCCCGGGCACGCCCGGCCCCGCCGGUGGAGCCCGGGCCGUUCAGAGCCUCUGCCCGUCUCCAGGGGUCACAGCGGUGCCAGCCCGGGGACAGGGGACAGAGCCUGGGGACAGUGCCCAGGGACAGGGUCCGGGGACAGUGCCUGGGGACAGGGCCAAGGGACAGGGCCUGGGGACAGUGCUCAGGCAGCAUCGUGUGGGGCCAGGCCUGGCUCUGGCUUCUCUGGGACUGGGCCCAGGCCCAGCCCUGGGUUCUGUGGGAUUGGGCCCAGGCCUGUCUGGGUUCUGUGGGAUUGGGCCCAGGCCUGUCUGGGUUCUCUGGGAUUGGGUCCAGGCCCAGCCCUGGGUUCUGUGGGGUUGGGCCCAGGCCUGUCUGGGUUCUGUGGGAUUGGGCCCAGGCCUGUCUGGGUUCUGUGGGAUUGGGCCCAGGCCUGGACUAGGUUCUGUGGGGUUGGGCCCAGGCCUGGCUCUGGGUUCUGUGGGAUUGGGCCGAGCCCAGCCAUGGAGCUCAGCUCUGGAGUGUGGGAUGAGGCUGUGA